Molecule: ribosomal RNA, 458 nt
Filed under: uncultured bacterium
Lineage: Bacteria
Description: bacterial SSU rRNA
Rfam family: Bacterial small subunit ribosomal RNA
Source: RNAcentral
GGGAGGCAGCAGUGGGGAAUAUUGCACAAUGGGCGCAAGCCUGAUGCAGCCAUGCCGCGUGUAUGAAGAAGGCCUUCGGGUUGUAAAGUACUUUCAGCAGUGAGGAAGGUGGAUAUGUUAAUAGCAUAUUCAUUUGACGUUAGCUGCAGAAGAAGCACCGGCUAACUCCGUGCCAGCAGCCGCGGUAAUACGGAGGGUGCGAGCGUUAAUCGGAAUUACUGGGCGUAAAGCGCAUGCAGGUGGUUUGUUAAGUCAGAUGUGAAAGCCCGGGGCUCAACCUCGGAAUUGCAUUUGAAACUGGCAAACUAGAGUACUGUAGAGGGGGUAGAAUUUCAGGUGUAGCGGUGAAAAUGCGUAGAGAUCUGAAGGAAUACCGGUGGCGAAGGCGGCCCCCUGGACAGAUACUGACACUCAGAUGCGAAAGCGUGGGGAGCAAACAGGAUUAGAUACCCUGGUAG